Molecule: ribosomal RNA, 301 nt
Filed under: uncultured bacterium
Lineage: Bacteria
Description: partial 16S ribosomal RNA
Rfam family: Bacterial small subunit ribosomal RNA
Source: RNAcentral
CAGUCGCCGCGGGAAUACGAAGGGUGCAAGCGUUACUCGGAAUUACUGGGCGUAAAGCGUGCGUAGGUGGUGGUUUAAGUCCGUUGUGAAAGCCCUGGGCUCAACCUGGGAAUUGCAGUGGAUACUGGGUCACUAGAGUGUGGUAGAGGAUAGUGGAAUUUCCGGUGUAGCAGUGAAAUGCGUAGAGAUCGGAAGGAACAUCUGUGGCGAAGGCGACUAUCUGGGCCAACACUGACACUGAGGCACGAAAGCGUGGGGAGCAAACAGGAUUAGAUACCCCUGUAGUCCCUGUCUCUUAUAA